This 274-nucleotide ribosomal RNA is filed under the name uncultured bacterium. Its description in RNAcentral is "partial 16S ribosomal RNA". It matches the Rfam family "Bacterial small subunit ribosomal RNA", at positions 523 to 796 of the family's 1533-position model. The record is from RNAcentral.
AUACGGAGGGUGCAAGCGUUAAUCGGAAUCACUGGGCGUAAAGGACGCGUAGGCGGGUUGGUAAGUCAGGUGUGAAAUCCUACAGCUUAACUGUAGAACUGCACUUGAAACUACCAACCUAGAGUAUGGGAGGGGGAGAUGGAAUUAGUGGUGUAGGGGUAAAAUCCGUAGAUAUCACUAGGAAUACCGAAAGCGAAGGCGAUCUCCUGGAACAUAACUGACGCUAAGGCGUGAAAGCGUGGGGAGCAAACAGGAUUAGAAACCCGAGUAGUCC